RNAcentral lists this long non-coding RNA (327 nucleotides) under Capsicum annuum. RNAcentral describes it as "long non-coding RNA (CANN_LNC001646)". The record is from RNAcentral. Lineage: Eukaryota; Viridiplantae; Streptophyta; Magnoliopsida; Solanales; Solanaceae.
GUGAUACGAACAGUUACAUGGAAGCAUUAUAUAACCAUUAUUCCGAUUUACUUGAUGAAGCCGUACCGAUAAAUAUCACUCCAACUAUCACUCCUCAAGCCCUCGAGGAGCCAUCAUCUUCUAAAAGGCAGGCACAUAGUAUUUAUCCUGAUUACUUUUUUUAUUUAAAUGUUUGGGACAAGCUGGAGCCUUCAACAUAGAGAACAACUUCUCGAAAAAAGCUUAAGUAUUUUCUUCGACAGCAGAUAGAGGAUCGUAGAGCAAAGAUAUGCGCACUGGAUUGGUGAAAUAAUAAUGAAAGACAAUAUCCGGUGCUUUCAAAAUUAG